CGAAGGCAGUCCCUACUCUUUUCAGCUACUGUCCCAAAGGAGGUUCGUCGCAUAUCUCAACUUGUUCUGAAAAGAGAAUAUGACUAUGUUGAUACAGUGGGCCUUGGACUGGAAACAAAUCCAAAGGUUAAGCAAUUUUAUCUAGUUGCACCGCAUGAACAACACUUUCAAGUUGUGCACCAUCUUUUGUCAAGCCAUAUCUCAGAAGUGCCUGAUUACAAGGUCAUUGUUUUUUGUACAACAGCUAUG
This 249-nucleotide unclassified non-coding RNA is filed under the name Hevea brasiliensis (rubber tree). The record is from RNAcentral. Lineage: Eukaryota; Viridiplantae; Streptophyta; Magnoliopsida; Malpighiales; Euphorbiaceae.